CCCCCAUCUUUGCCCCCCAUCUCACCCCAUAUUUCCCCCCGCCCCCCGCAGGCUGUCGGCCGGCCUGCUGCGCCAGGCCACGUACACGACGACUCGCCUGGGGAUUUACACCGUCCUGCUGGAGCGGCUGGCGGGGGCCGACGGGACCCCCCCGGGGUUCCUCACCAAGGCGGCCGUCGGGAUGACCGCGGGGGCAACGGGGGCCUUCGUGGGGACCCCCGCCGAGGUGGCGCUGAUCAGGAUGACGGCGGAUGGGAGGUGAGGACCCCCACCCUCACGGGGGGACCCCCGGCCAUUGCCACCCAAUGGGGAGUCGCGAUGUUGGGGGGUCUGCAUCCAAUGGGGAGCCGUGAUAUUGGUGGGCUGAGGGUCUGCAUCCAAUGGGGAGCCACAAUACUGGGAAGUGGGGGUCCUGGUCCCCAAUAUUGGGGUCUAUGGGGCCUAUGGGAAAUAAGGGGGGGUCCUGGUCCCAAUAUUGGGGGUGGGGGGUCAAUGGGGGUCUUUGUGGGGACCCCCACCGAGGUGGCGCUGAUCAGGAUGACGGCAGAUGGGCAGUGAGGACCCCCACCCUAAUGGGAAGACCCCCCCAGCCAUUGCCACCCAAUGGGGAACCACGAUGUUGAGGGGUGGGGGAUGUGCAUCCAAUGGGGAGCCACGAUACUGGGAAGUGGGGGUCCUUGUCCCCAAUAUUGGGUGUGGGGCGUCAAUGGGGGUCUUUCUGGGGACCUCCGCUGAGGUGGCGCUGAUCAGGAUGACCGCAGAUGGGAGGUGAGGAUCCCCGGAAAUGGGGAGACCCCCGCCCUCAUGGGGGGACUCCCACCCUAAUGGGGAGACCCCCAGCCAUACUCAUCCAAUGGGGAGCCAAGAUGUUGGGGGGUUGGGGGUCUGCACCCAAUGGGGAGCCACGAUAUUGAGGGGUGGGGGGUCUGCACCCAAUGGGGAGCCACGAUAUUGAGAGGUGUGGGUCUGCAUCCAAUGGGGAGCCACAAUACUGGGAAGUGGGGAUCCUCGUCCCCAAUAUUGGGGGAUGACGGGGUGGUCCUGGUGGG
RNAcentral lists this long non-coding RNA (1049 nucleotides) under Phasianus colchicus (ring-necked pheasant). RNAcentral describes it as "lncRNA (ENSPCLG00000013285.1)". The record is from RNAcentral. Lineage: Eukaryota; Metazoa; Chordata; Aves; Galliformes; Phasianidae.